RNAcentral lists this ribosomal RNA (406 nucleotides) under uncultured bacterium. RNAcentral's name for it is "partial 16S ribosomal RNA". It matches the Rfam family "Bacterial small subunit ribosomal RNA", at positions 30 to 526 of the family's 1533-position model. The record is from RNAcentral.
AUUGAACGCUGUAGGCAGGCCUAACACAUGCACGUCGAGCGAGCGGCGGACGGGUGAGUACUGUCUGGGAGACUGACUGAUGGAGGGGGCUAACUACUGGCACCGGUAGCUAAUACAGCGUACCAUCAGAUGGGACCAGAUGGGACUGGCUGGUAUGUGGGGUAACGGCUCACCUAGUCGACGAUCCCUAGCGGGUCUGCGCGGAUGACCAGCCACACUGGAACUGAGACACGGUCCAUACUCCUGCGGACGGCAGCAGCGGGGAAUAUUGCACUAUGGGCGCAAGCCCGAUGCAGCCAUGCCGCGUGUGUGAAGAAGGCCUUCUGGUUGUAAAGCACUUUCAGCGGGGAGGCGUUACCCGCAGAAGAAGCACCGUCUAACUCCGUGCCAGCAGACGCGGUAAUAC